AAGGGCACCACAAGAACGCGUGGAGCAUGUGGCUUAAUUUGACUCAACGCGGGAAAUCUUACCGGGUCCGGACACACUGAGGAUUGACAGGUGAUUCUUUGGUUAAUUUUAAUUAGCCCAAUUUAAAUAUGCUAGUCCUUUCAUGAUUGUGUGAUAGGUGGUGCAUGGCCGUUCUUAGUUCGUGGAGUAAUCUGUCUGCUUAAUUGCGCCAAUAAUGGAGCAAGCCUUAAGUUGUAAUCCAUUGUUUCUCACGAAACUUUGGAUCUAUGACGGCGAACGCUCCGAAGGCAACGAACGAGACCGCAACCUUUAGUUGCCUCCAUUGUUUUUAUAACUUUUUCGAGGCAAACUAGAGGGACCGCUGGAAUUCUGUAACCCAGAGGAAGGUUGCGGCAAUAACAGGUCUGUGAUGCCCUUAGAUGUUCCGGGCCGCACACGUGCGACAAUGAUCUAUGCAGUAAGCAUAUCAACAAGUCUGUACAUUUGUGUAUACUUCGGUAUACUGUACGGCAAGCCUGCUUCGAAAGUAAGUUGGUAAUCAAUUCGAAGUAUAGAUUUCCAUUUGCAUAUUUCUCUUCAACCAUCCAUUGGUUAAGAGGUGCAUUCAUCGAAUUCAUGGUGGGGACAGACCUUUGUUAAUUGUUGGUCUCGUUUCAACUAGGAAUGCCUUGUACGGGUCUUGGUCAACAAACCACCCGGAAUACGUCCCUGCCCUUUGUAC
RNAcentral lists this ribosomal RNA (721 nucleotides) under Monothalamids sp. RNAcentral describes it as "SSU rRNA". It matches the Rfam family "Eukaryotic small subunit ribosomal RNA", at positions 1160 to 1665 of the family's 1831-position model. Lineage: Eukaryota; Foraminifera. The record is from RNAcentral.